AACACGGCUGCUGCUCUCAAUUUGCUCUUUAUAUGGAUCUCUGAAGACCACAUGUGCAUGCAGUGGUGACAGAAAUAUUUUCCAUAUGAGCCACCACACAUUUUUAAAGUCCCUCAGUCUAAGUAAGAUAAAAGAAACACUAUCUCUUCAAAUCCUAGAGUUGCCUAAGCCAAGUGAUCAGAAAUUACAAACCUUCAAAGACACGAGCAACAUGGGGAAGUAAUUUGUUUUGUUUUAGUGGGUAUGUCAAUUUUCAAGAAAAUAGUAAAAACAGUAUAAGCAGCACAGUACAUAGUUGUAGUAUUAACUGUGCUAAACAGACCACUAUGUUUCUGUCUUGGAAACUGAAAUAAAAAUGCAGAGCAAGAGACUUA
Alligator mississippiensis (American alligator) is the source of this 374-nucleotide long non-coding RNA. RefSeq lists it as uncharacterized. Lineage: Eukaryota; Metazoa; Chordata; Crocodylia; Alligatoridae. The transcript has 2 exons. The record is from RefSeq and is a predicted model, not a curated record.